This is a long non-coding RNA of Orcinus orca (killer whale), 12391 nucleotides long. RefSeq lists it as uncharacterized. The transcript has 2 exons. The record is from RefSeq and is a predicted model, not a curated record. NCBI's taxonomy places the organism in Eukaryota, Metazoa, Chordata, Mammalia, Artiodactyla, Delphinidae.
AAAAAGGCAAAAUGUAUAUAAAUUCACGUUACUUGUUUUCUGUUGAAUCUUUUCUCAAAUAUAAAAAAUUGGAUGCCCUAAUUUGAUAAAAAGAAAAUUAUUCCUAACUUUGGGGAAAGUGUUAAAUGUAUGAGAACUUAUUUCAGUGCUGGAGGAGAAUAGAAAGGGGUAGGUGAUAACUGGGAGCAGGCUAGUCAGGAAAACUUUUACGUGGGAGCAGAGCCUUGAAGAGCAAGUAAAAUUGGGUAGGUGGCGAGCCUGAGCAUGAUGUAUUUCAGUGACGGUAAGGAAACUGGCUGACUAGGCCAGUGGGUUCUUCUUUGUCAGUGGCGUGAAACAAACUUGGGGAGGUACUUUAUGGUCUGCAGAUUAUAGAAGGCCUCCUGAGCUUUUGUACAAAACAAGUGUACAAAAAUCAGUGGCCAUCCAAAUCUAAUUAAUGACCACUUAAAAAUCUAAAGAAAUCAUUUACAGUAGUAACAAAAAGCAUUUCUAGAAAUAACCUUAAUAAGAAAUGUAAAUGCCCCAUUUGAAGAAAACUUCCCAGUUUUGUAGAGAGAUAUAGAAAACUUGAAUAAAUAGAAACACAUAUUGUGUAUGUGGAAGGGAAGAAGUGUUAGAAAGACAUCAGUUAUUCCUAAAUUAAUUUGUAGAUUUAGUGCAGCUUUAUUCCAAAUUCCAGCAGAAAGUAGUUCUGAAAUUUAUCUAGAAAAGAAGAUGAGUGAAAAUAGCUAAUUAAUUUUUGAAGAAAAGUGGAAGGGUGUGUGUUGGGGUGGGUGUACUAGCCUUACCAAAUAUUAAAACAUUUUGAACCCAAAAAAUAAUAUAUGCGUAUAUGGAUCAAUCAGUGAAGCCUGUUAGGCCAGGUGUGUAUGUGUGUGUAACUCUUGUUUAGGGAGGUAUUGUAAAUCAGUCAGAAAAAGAAGGUUUAUUCAGUGAUUUGGGGAUAAUUGGUUAGCACUUUGGAAAGAAAGGCUUUUUUUUUUUUUUAGGUCCUUGUCUUUUACUGUACAUACAUUAAAGUAAAUUUUUACAUGGACUAAAGAUUUAAUUGUAAAAGCAAAACUGAAGAAAAUGAAAAUGUAUAUGAAAUAUUGACCUAUCUUCUAGAAGUGGGAGGUCUUUCUGAGUUUAAAAAUUAGCAGCAGUAAUCUUAAUAACGGUGUUGAUUUUGAUGAUAGCAGCUAUCACAAGUACUUUACAUAGAGACACUAUAGCAUUAUUCCCAAGUACAAGAAAUUAUUAGGUAAAUAUGGCAUAGUGAAGAGUUUGUCAUGACAUGAGAAGAAUUGCUCAUAUUAAAAAAUACUACCAAAACCAGUUACAAUUAAAACUAUAUAUACAAAAUCAAAAAACUGUAGGCAUGGACAUAGUGAUUAGAAGGAAACUGGCUGACUAGGCCAGUGGGUGCUGGCCUACAUUUUAGUGUAUGUAAAAUGCUAACAAUGGCUAUAUCUGGCUGAUGAGACUAUGGGUGAUUUAUUUUUCUGCUUCUAUCUUCCUGAAUUUCUCUAAUGAACACAUAUUACUCUUGAAAUGAGAAGCAAAACAGAAUAAGUAAAACUCUAGGCAGAUGAGUUUUUAUUUGCUGUGGGAGGAAUGGAAAAGAAUAUCUUUUGAUUGGAAAAAUGUCAUGAAUAAGCAGUAUCUAAUUAUAUAUUAAAUGUACAAUGGAGGGGGCCCCUCUUUAAAGGAAGUCUGUGGUAAAUCUUUUGUAAAGGGAGUAAUUUUCCUGUAACUCAGCUGGAUUUUCAAUUCAGACUUUCUUAACCUGUACAGGAAAAUCAUCCACAAGUGUUUCAUUGAUGUCUUAGCUUUCUGGUUGUCAUUCUAAAAAAUAAUAAAUGGUAAUAAUAGCUACCACUCGUAGAGCACCUACUCUACCUGGCACUCUGCUAAAAGCUUUGUAAUUUGGUUGACUAUCCUUGCAAGUUAGGUUCCUUUACUCAUAAAGAAACCAAGGUGUCCUGCCCGAGAUGAUGUAACAUUGAUGAGCUUGUGCCGUAUUCCUGGGAUCGCCUGCCACCUCUCCAGGUUCUGUGGAUGCAGGGCUAUGUGCAUGCGGAGUGCUGUCCUGGGACUUUGGAGCUGGACUUCACUUUGUAUGGCACAGGUCAGAUCUCUGGUGAUUUUCUCCUUGGCAUGUUGUCAUAUCAUCUACUGUCUUUAGGAGCAUAUUUUGCUACAUAAAUCACAGGUAUUUGAAAAUGCCUGACUAGCUUUUGGGGAAAUACAGCUGCCUCCAAAUCAAACUCUUUUUUUAGUCAACAAUUACUAGUAACUGUGUAUUUUUUAGAGGUAGUGUUGAGGUAUGUUUUUGGGAAAAUGGAAAAAGGGUUGUAGUUUUAGUUAGUAAAAUCAUUGAGAAGGAAGGAGACCCAAUUUAUACAUUAUAUCCAUCUGAAAAAGUAUAAUUCCCUUUUCUGUCAUUGGGACACUAGUUUGUUAUUUAUUUGUUCAUUCAACAGUCAGUCCCGUGAAGAACUCGAGCUGAGAUGAUUUUUCAGAAUUGCUCAGGUGAGGCAAGGGGCCAGGCCUUUAAAAACGUUGGUCAGUCAUCAGAAGAGGGCUUCACCAGGGAAAGGCCUUUGAGUUGGGUGACAUAGCUUCCUUCUGCUGAGGACAGUGCCUGAGAGAGACUCAGCUGUGAGCCAUCAGCAGGCAAUUCUUCUGGAUGUUGGGGGAAUGAGGGCCUUCAUCCUGAAGGCACAGCUCUGCCAUACUACCCUUUAGGGUUGUUGUGAGGACUGAAUGAGGUAUUUCAUGUAAAGCUGCCAGCAUUGUAUCUGGUACAUUAGAGAUACUCAUUAAAUGGCGACUACUUUAUUAUCAGCUUAUAUUUUUUGAGUAUCUGCCCAUAAGUAUAAGGAAGGCACUUAGAUUGCUCUUUGGGCUGGGAAGAUGAAUGAGACUUUCAUUUUGGUCAUUAAUAUGCUAACAAUCUAGAAGAGGGCAUUCAUUCAUUCAACAAAUAUUUAUUGAGCAUCUGCUAUACGCUAUGUACUGUUUUUGACCCUGGGGAUAGAGCAAAGGUAAGACAGACCAAAAUCUCUGCUUUCAUGGAGAGUAUAUUUUAAUGGGAAACUUACAGUAAACAAGUAAACGGAUUCAAAAAUACUUGUGUCAGGUAGUGAUAAGUAAACUCAUAAGGCAUACUCAUAAUUAUAGAAGUUUUCACAAGAGGAACUUUGAUCAUUUAGAUAGCAGAGAGAUUACUUCGGGGUAAGGUUGAGGGGAGGCUUCAUGGAAGAGGUGACAUUUAGGUGGGCCUCCCAGAUUUUCCACAUGUGGAAUGGAGAGAGGAGAUGCAGGACUGAACACAUGACGAAGACUCUAGGAGUGGGAAAGCACAGGAUGGUAAAAUCUGAGGAAAGCUGAGUUUAACUGGAAGGAGUGUGAAAAGUAGGUAAUGGGGUGUGCCAGGUAUUACCCCUCGGCCCCUACAGAUCUACUCUCUAUCCUUUCCACUCUGCUCCUGCGUCAGCAGGCCGAUCUUUAUGGAGUGCGUGACUGGGUGUCCUUGUUCUCUGGCUUCUGAUUGGAUGCAGCCAGUUCGAGGCUCCAGCAGGAGACUGGAGGGCUGGAAGAAGCAGGAGUUGGUUUGGGAACUGGGUAAAGGCUUUGCAUCCACAAUCUAUUACUUAGAUUACGUGUCUUCCCACCAGCCCUAGAAUUUUUUACCUGUGUAUGUCAGGCAUCCCAUGGGUUAGGAUGGCUUUAGCCAGUAGGCUGGUACCAGCCAUCAAUAGACAGGAUUGUACUGUAGCCCCACUCAGGGGUGACCCUGAAAGAUAGUGACAAAGGGAAUUCCUCCCCGUGGAUAGAACUUUGGACAUUUCAUCUUUGCCUUUUUAUUUAAGGUGGCUUUUAAAGGCGAUAUGUUUCUCUCUGUCUCUCUCUCAACUUUACAAUGGGGUAAUGUCAAAAAUUUUAGGCUCAAACAGAUUUUCUCUUAGUGAUGUGGCAGUUCAUACUUUUCUUCCAAAUAUGACCUGAAGGAUUAGAGGUGGUAAAUGGUCUUGUGGCACUUUGACUAUAAAUCUGAACUGGAAUGGAAUCUGUAACCCAUUAUCAGAUUCUGAAUCAGGCUGCCUUGUCUUUCUCCUGUUUUUGUUUCAGUGAAAAUGUGUGUUUUUAUUCUGUCAGUGGAUGGUUUACAUACCUAAUAUACCUAAUAUUAAAAGGGAAUUAUAUAAUGAAUACUUGAUGUGAAAGGGACUAGUUAAAUACUUCAACUCCAAAGGAUUCCAUUAAAGUAAUAAGGAAAUUACAUUUAAUUUUAAAUGGUAGAAAGAUUUUUUUAAUGUUAUUGCUAUUAAGCAUGUAUUACACACACUCAAGCCAUUUUCUGCAAAUGAAUUUCCAAAGCACAAUUCAUCUUUUUACAGGUGGAGAGGAAAUAUUCUUGCAAAAUAUAGUUUGAUGUUGUCUUCUUAACUGCGGAGAGAAGCAUACUUUUCCAAAGAAUAGAAUGUGAUGGUUGAUUGGAAACUUUUGGAGUUACGGGCUUUUAGCUCUACCUCUUGAAAUAAGAAAAUAUAUAUAAAUGGGUCCCCAGAUGAAGGCGUGGUGGGGUACUUUAUAGCCCUAAUUGACUCCAGACAUAGAGGCCGUGAUUUGCAAGCAAGCAGUGACAAGAGGAAGUUAAAUCAAAAUUAAAUUAAGGGAAGGAAGAAAAAAAAAGAGAGAUAUUAAGGAGAGGUGAUGAAUCUUCUGAAGGCGUCUAAAUACUUAUCUGUAGGUAAGUGAGAAAUCUGUGAAUAUAUCUCAGUUAUGUCAAAGGAUGAAAUCUGGAAACAUUUCAGUCCUAAAAAAGACCUUCUCUCUUUUAUAAAGUCUUUUUUGUAUUCAUUGCUUGGUACAGUUCAGUCAGUACACGCAUAUUUGCUUCUAUACUUUUCCAUGACUCAACUGGCAGUAAAAUCAGCAUCUCCCAUGAUACACAUCAGGUGAUAUUUUGGGAGAAUUGGUUUUUCUGUUUAUAUUUUGACUAUUUGAUUUUGUUCAGCUCAUGUAAAUACAGUUCUGGGAAUCAGAAUUGAUUCCGGCCACUCAGCCAUGCUGACCGCCAUUUCUGCACUUGUCUCAGUUUCCCUUUUGUUGGCCUCCCCUGUCCAGUGAGUUCUCAGGCCCAAGAGAACAGGGACUGUGUCCCACUCCCCAUCACAGCACAGAUGAAGUGCAGCAUUCAGCACAUAUUUGUGAAGUUAAUCUGUGCCUUGUGCUUCCUCUCUUUCUCAUCCAGCCCACUGCUACCAUGCGUGCUCAUCCCUCACCAUCUUGAGCCUGAGUUGAUGAAACAGCACUGAGCGCUCCCCGCCCCCACCCCCCACUCAGAGCCAAGCCACUGUGCCGAAAAUGCGGCUUUCCUCAUGUUCCUGUGCUCAGAACUGCCUGGGCUCAGUACUGCCCAUUCCUCACACAGUGAAUUCUGUUAUUUGGCUGGUCUUCAAAGGUCUUUAUAAAGGUAGCCCUACCCACUUUUCCAGUGUUGCAUCCCACACUUCCCUGGAUCAUCCUACCAGCUUUAACCAAGCUGCUCUUUUCACAAACUCCUCUGCUUUCUUGUCUCCUUGUUUGGCUCUUGCUAUUUCUCUUGCCUGGACAGCUCGCUCCCCUUCACUUACUCAAAUUCUACCCAUCCUUAAAGGGUAGAAGUUUAAUCUCUUCUGAAUUCAAAGCACUUGCUGUCUGUAUUACUCAUUAAGCCAGCAACUAUGUGUGGCUUAUGACAGCCUUUGCAUUAUUGUUUGGUGGUGUUAUUAUUCUUACUUUUUGAAGAUCUGAUUGGCUUUAUUCAGUGAUUUAUGAGUCAAGCAGUAUCCCAUCUAGCAAAGAGAUAGGCACUCACGUGUUGUUAUUUAAUGAUUGCAUUGUUGCUUAGCUUUCCAAGUGCUGUUUUCUUCCAAACUAUAUUAUUUAUCUUUGAGCAUGGGAGAUGGAACAGGAAAGGGCGAGAGUGAUUUGAUGUUUUUUACAUAUUUCCCUCACUGGCUUUGGUAGCUAGUGCUGCAGCCGUUACACAGGACAGUCACCACGUCUUACUCAUGUUUCCCUUCCCAGUUCCCAGCCCUGUGCCUGGUCCAUAGUGGCGAUUCAGUACAUGGUAUGUGACUAAAUAAAUAGAAGGCGUUCUCAAAUAUUUGUUUACUAGUUUGACCCAAAGCUAAAAGAAUCAACAUGGGUGAUUUUCCAACUUCUAAAAGCCAUAAAAAUCCAGUUUCUCAUUUAGCUUUUUUUCACCAUUAACAGUUCUCCCUCGAGCACUUCUUCCUUUUGCCUGCCUUCAGCUUCAUGCUGAAAUAUAAAUCAAUUUCCUCUAAUUCUUUUCCCUGUGAAAUUGGAGAACAGCUGUUCAGUCACCUCCUUAUAAAUAACCCUUCAACAAGUUAAAUUGCCUCUAGGAUUUGCUUUCUCCAGAUUAAAUUAUCCCAAAGCCCUUUCUUUUUCUCAUAAAGGCCUUUUCAGAAAGAAGUGUUAGUUGUUUUUUUAAUUUCUUUUUCUAGCUCUUUAUAAAACUUUAUUCUUUUCAUAAAUGUACCAUAGAAUACCCCUAUAAAGGCCUGAUUAAUGCUGCCUGGAAAGGAAGGCAUCUUGAAUCUCCUCAUUUGUGUUUUGGAGUAUCCUGUUAACCUUUUUUACCUGUUGCCUGUCGGAUUUAACUUGUGGUCUACUCUCACCCUCUCCUUGUUUUGUUUCCUUUUUCUGUGCAUUUCUUCAAAUGAGUAGCUUGAUUUUCUUCCCACAAAACACUAACUUGCUGUAUCAGGAGUCUUACAAUUACAAGUUACAGAGACCCAAUGUGAAUUAGCUUAAAUGAUUAAGGGAAUUUAUUGAUUUAUGUCACUGAAAAGUCUAGUAAUAGGACUUAACCUCCAGCACGGCUGGACCCAGGGGACAAAACAGUGUCACCAAAAGCCUUUUUUCUCACUCCCUAUGAUCUGCCUUCGUGGUAUUAGCAUCUCCCUUAAGGUACCUCCAAGCUCUGCUUCAUGGUAGCUGUAGAGCUGCAGCAUGUGCAGACCUUACUUGCCAUACUACCCCAUCCAGAGGAAGAGAGAGGUGCUUUCCUCAGAGUACCCACCAGCAUCUUGGAACUGAGGCAGAUGCCUCUCCUUAAACCCAACUCCAGAGGUCUGCUUAGGACCCAGCUCUUCAAAUAGAACAGUGUCACACAUGGCUGAGAAUAGGGAAGGAAUGAUUUCCAAAGGAAAUUUGGGGAGCUGUUCCCAGGAGGAGGGCAAUGGAUGUGAGUGGCCAACAAUAGAUGUACGUUACACUCAAAAUUGUGCUUCUUCAUUCUGCCUUAGACAGAUUAUUGAUAUUGCUUUGCACUGAGGGUAUCUCUGCGAAUGAAUUCUUCACUCAGUCACUCACUCAGUCACUCACUCUCUCAUUCUUCAUUGAACACUCUGGAUAGAGUAUGCCAGGCACGCAACUAGGUAUUGGGUAUACAAACGUGAGUGAGGCAAUAUCCCUGACCAGGAGAAACUCAUAGUCUAGUGAAAAGACAGACUAAUAGGCAGAUAGUUAAAGCAUGUUGUAAUAAGUGCUGUUAUCAAAGUAUAUAUGGACACAGAGGUAGAAGUGAAGAACUCAGUGGGAGGGGCUUGAAGCAGGGAGGGCUUCACAGGAGAGCUGAGCCUUGACGGGUAGAAGGGAUUUCCCUAGAUUGGGGAAGGAAGAGCAUUAUCCUCAAAGCCAUGGUGAACCAUAAAACGUUUUCAGCAGGGGACUGGCAGGAUCAGGUAUGGAUUUUAGAAAGAUCAUUCUGCUGGCCAUUGGUAAACCUAGUGGAGGUGAGAAGGACUGGCGGUGAGGAGGAGGAUCCAUCGACUGUUGCAGUAAAUGACAUCUGAGUGAAGACCCCGUGCACUGAGCCAGGGACCAUAGAGACAGAGGGCAGAUUUAAGAUAUAUUGACAGGAUUUGGGACUUGUUAGAUGUAGGAGAUGAAAAUCAAUUGUUCUAGAUGAAUUCAAGGUUUCAGUUGUGGGUGACUAGAUGAGUCUGGUUCAGUUCAAGAUGAGUUCAUCUUUGUGGUUAUUUGAGGUGCCUGUUGAACACCCACCCAAGGGAUUCAUGUUUAUCAGGCCGUGGUAGAUACAGAAGUGGACCUCAGGAAAGGUUUCUGAGCCAGAGACAUAGACAGGGAGACAUCGGAGUAUAGGUUGAAGCCUUGAGGAAGGAGUGAGGUUACCCAAGGGGAAUUUCAAAUGAGAAGAAAAGAGGGCCUGGGAAUGGGGAAUGGCAACAUUUGAGAGGCUGGUAGAGGAGAAGGAGAAGGAGGCUGUGGAGGAGUUAGGCAGGCAUCUGGGUCCCUCCAGAUAAUAGACCUCUUCUCAUCUUGAUAAAGGCAGUGUCACCUGGGAGGUUGGUGGCAUGGUGGUUAAUUAAGAGCAUGGACUCUGGGCUUUACUACCUACUGGUGUGUGACUUGUGGGCAAAUUACUUAACUUCAUUUCCUGAUCUAUGGGAUGGGAAUUAGGUAGUACCUAAUUUUGGAGGAUUAAAUGAGCAAAGCGCUUUGAAAGUGCUUGGCACAUAGGAAAUGUUAUAAAGUGUUUGAUAAAUAAACAUGGAAACCAAUAAAUGCAUGUGCCCUGCAUUUGUGCAUCUGUCUGUCUCUCUGAGCUUACAUAUCCACUGGCCAGUUAAUCUGAAAUCCAAAAUUAGUUUGUUUGGACUUAAAUAAUUUAUUCUUCUGAAAACUCUAGUGAUUCCAGUGUAACAGUUUAAGUGUCUGACUUCCUGAAGAUUUUCUGGAUUAUUUAUUGGAUUAUUUUUUCUACUGGCUAUUAAUUUUACCUCUGACUUUGAUGUACUUUUCUUUGUUUCUUCCAUACUUCAUAUAUUUUAAAAUUGUUCUUAAUAACCUCACAGCAUACAGCUUUCUCUUCUCUUUUUUUUUUUUUUUUUUUUAAGAUUUUCUUCCUCGGAAUCAUUCUUAAAGUUCUGGAAUGCUCUGUCAGUUGCUCCCCCGCAUUUUGGUCAGUUUCUGGCAUGUUACUUUUAAUCAGGCUACUUUUUUCAUCCAUCUGUAGGAAUUGGCAAUAUUUUCAAUUCCUCUCCAUUAUGGUCAGGAAUAUGAACUUGCUGUCUUUUCUUCUUCCUUUUGCAUUUUCCCAAGUAUGUGUCUUGAACCACUGAUUAGAUCUACGUGCCCACAAUAACAUAAGCAGGCACAAAGCUUAAAUCUGAUUUAAAGGAGUAUUGUACAGUUUGUUCCUCCAUUAAAGUCUAGAUUAAAAUAGAACAGUAUUCAGGGUGUGAGUUUGUCAUGGAAUCUCUAACACUCGUUGAAUCAGACAUCGUGUGUGUUCGUUUUUAAAUAACUGGGUGGGUCACUUUUUUAUUUAUUAUGAACACAAACACUGAUGCUAACAACUGACAUGUGAAAGGAAAACAGGGAAUAGUGAUGAAAACCAUUUAAUGAUUAGUGAGGAAACAAAUAUUGUUUAAUGAAAAUAAAAACCAUGUCUAAAGGGCCUAAUGCUGACUUUUGGAAAUAUAACCAUGUUGCGGUCUGUUGUGUACCCUCUGUCCUGUACAGUAGAUAUUGUUUAAAAUUGCUUGGGAACUGGAGCUUGCAAUUGUGAGCCUGGAAUGUCCUGCAGAUAAUUAAGUUGUGGUCAGGCUUUGGAAAAAUAAAAAGUUCUCGAACUAUGAUUUUAUAAACAUGCUACAAUAACAUUUCUUUAUAUUUAACAGUUUCUUAUAGAAAGCUGAUACUCUCAUGAGGCAUUGAUUAAAGUGUUUGGAUCUUCUCAGCUGUUUCACAGAUAAUGAAUUUGGUUCUGUUCGGGAGAAGGGAGUACAUUGCCAGUGUUUGCAACGUUCAUUCUCUUAACCGCGAAGUUACUGAUUUGGGAAUGGAAGACACUCGUUGGUCCCUAGUGGUCUGAAAUGGAAAAUGCAUCUCCGGAAAAUUUCAUUUGAACUUUCCAUAAAGUUUAGCAUUUGAUUAGAAACAAAAAUGUUAAUAAUUUUAGGUAGGUUGAUUGGCUUAUUCAUAGUGUUCUUUGAGCUACAGUUGUAGUUACUUAUUUUCUUAAUCUCUUAUUGAAAGUAGAUGAACUACAUAUAAAAACUUGGGAACUAGAUUAGCACCUGUAUUUCAAGCCACUUAGGAAAUGGAGGAAAAUUCUGUAAAUGCUUGUAUAAGUGCUAAGUAGACUGAGAAAAAUCUGUCAGAAGUUUUCUCUUUGUCAUUUCUUUGUUAGCUUUAUCAUGCUUAAUUUUCAUGAAAAUAAUGUGUUUGUUACUGUGGUCGCACCGUGAUUUAGCUUUGGCUUGUGUAUGAUAUUUUAUUGUCCCUGUCCUGGAAAAUUAUAGCAGUUUUUAUGAGGAGUGGUUUGUGGGUUCACACAACCCACUUGGAGUGCCAUUUACCAUAAUUCUCUUCUAAAAGGACCAUAAAACAUCAUGUAAAUUGUUUAAAAAGGGAAAGGCCUUCUUUGAGAAAGGCUAAGAAGAAAUCUUUCCAGGCUUUCUUUUGUUUCUUAUAGUUUCAUGAUUUUAAGCUCUAUUUAAAGUAUUAAUGUUAAAGAAAUAAAGUGCACAUGUAUGUGAGUAAAGAUUGUUGUGAGCCAGAGCUGGGCUAAAACCAGGUAUUGAUGCAGAAUAAUAUGUAUCAAAUUCAUUAUAAUAUUUUAAAAUGUGUUUCCUGUGACUUUGGAAAUGAAAUUAAGGAAGAAAGGAAGAGAGAGAGGGAGGAAGGAAGGACGGAAGGAGGGAAGGAAGGAUGGAAUUAAUUCAUAGCAUGUAUAUCUUUUUAAGAAAACCCUUGUGUUCUCUUAACUAGUUGUUGUGUGUCUGUAGUCGACAUUAAGGCACAAUUUUUGGUAACCAGUCUUGUGAAACGCAUAUUUAAUUUCACAAACAGAUUUACCUAGAGAAACUUCCCCCCUUGGCCGUUUUACCAUUUCGGUUGGCUUGUGGCACUCAGUUUAUGUACACCCUUACGAAGAAAGCAUAGAAUAGCACAGUAACAAGGCCAAAGUUCUGUCAUGGUUUUCUGUACAAAUGCUUUAUUCCGAUAUUAUCUUGGUUUUGUGCAUGAGCUCGAUGGAGAGCAAGGACGGAAAUUGUUAAUAAUUUUCUACAGCAUUUACGUGGUACUCUGAGCUUCUAGUCACUUAAUACAGAUAUAUCUUAUGUUUAGGAAAUUUUAAUAAGAAAAUCCAUACAUAUGCAAAAUAUAAAAUAGAGGCCCCUGUUCGUUUUGCAUAAAGAUAUAACAAAUAUAUAAUAGAUUUAAUUUAAAAAACCACUUCCUUAGUACAUGUGAGGCUAUUAUAGUUGGAACAACAUUUAUGGGAACACUUACAAAUGAAAUGAUGAUAGCUCUGUUCAUGUAAAUAGUGAUAUAAACAUUUGUCUCUGCAAAAUUUUCUAUUCAAAUUAGUGUGUUUUAAAAAACCCAAGAUUAUCUGUGUGGUUUAGAAACUCCUUGGUUUUGUGACAAGAGGAGGUUACAAGUAGAUUAUAUUUAUGCAUCUUGAAGAGAGUGUCAGUAAAAUUGCUAAAUUUUCUUGAACAUGGCUGUAAAUCUUUGUCUAUAAAUACUUCCUAUUUGCAUGUGUAAUUUCAUGAAGAAUAUCAACUUAGGUUUUAUUAGGUGACUGUAAAUUCUCCUUUUCCAUGUGUGUUAAAACACACACAUGCACACAAAACCAACUUCCUAAAACAUAUCAAAACUUUUUAGAAUUAUUUCUUACUCUACACUUUUUUUUUUUUCUCCUGUUGAGGUGUUUCUGUACUAUCAGGAUCACAGAGUAGCCAACCGAAGUGAACUUGGGGAAUAGAAAAUGAAGGAGAUUUUAAAAAUAAACAGACGAGUCUAAUGUGACAUUGUGAAAGGUGGGAACGAGGUGAAGGCUGUCCUGCUGGGCCUGGAGCCUCUGUGCCGCUGGUACAGAACCGCCCUUGGCCUGAACCAGCUCUUCUCGGGGCUCGUUUGGUGGAGUUGGGAGCCCCUUUGACCAAGUCUUUAGCCUGAGAAUCUACUUUCUGUGGUUAAGUGUACUAAGCAGAGAAGACUUUUUGUGGUAUUUUAACUGAAGCUAUUGGUUAUGCCACAAAUUCUAUAAUUAAAAAUUUUGUGUCUAGCUCUGUUGACUAAAUUGUUUUAACAUGAGAUGUUUGGAAAUAGGAUAGGCAGGACACUGAAGGGACCAAAUACCAAAUUCUCCAAGUUAGCUAUUAUUUUCCACCAUGAAUUUAUAAUACACUGCUAUAUAAUGACAUCAUUAUUAUUGUAAGUGAUAUAGAAUGCUAUGUUUAGGGGGUUUCUUUUUUUAGAUUAGGAAAUAAUUUUUCAUUUUUUGUGUUUACACAGAUAACGUACUUCCUAGUCAUUUACAGUUAUUAAAUAAAAAUGCAUAAGGUGA